AGUGGAUUUUUCUACAGAUUCCUGGCAAAAAUUAAGCAUAUUUUUCUGUGGUGUUUUUCAGUGAAGAUCUGCUUUUGGAAUGUGAAAGGAAGUGAUGGAGGGAGAAGUUGAUUAUCAGAAUCUGCAUGAAAUACUGAGAAAGUCAUAAUGCAAUUCAUCAUGUGCAUCUCUGUGACAUAUGAUCUUUAUUUAUACCACUGUGGGUACUGAACAAGUCCAGCCUUGAGAAUGGGCUUAGAGUUGUGCUCAAAAGCCUGGAAGGCAAUCAGAAGUGAGCUGCUUUGGUUCCACAGCAAAUACAGAAAUAAAGGUAAAUACAGUAAUUCAGAUUAUGCAGGUACCAACAUUCUUCAUGGUCUGUGGCUCUGCCCCUCUGCCCUGCUCUGGUGGGGCCCCACCUGCAGGGUUGCAUCACCUCUGGAAGGACAUGGAUCUGUUGGCACAAGUCCAGAGGAGCACAACAAGAUGAUCAGAGGGAUGGAGCACCUCUCCUGUGAGGACAGGCUGAGAGAAUUGGGAUUGUUCAGCCUGGAACAAAGAAAGCUUUGGGGUGAUCCAAUUGUGGCCUUCCAAUGCCUGAAGGAGCUUACAGGGAAACUGGGGCAGGACUGUCUACAAGAGCAUGUAGUGACAGGACAGGAGGGAAUGAGUUCAACUUGA
Molecule: long non-coding RNA, 660 nt
Filed under: Zonotrichia albicollis (white-throated sparrow)
Lineage: Eukaryota; Metazoa; Chordata; Aves; Passeriformes; Passerellidae
Description: lncRNA (ENSZALG00000003111.1)
Source: RNAcentral